Molecule: long non-coding RNA, 248 nt
Filed under: Elaeis guineensis (African oil palm)
Lineage: Eukaryota; Viridiplantae; Streptophyta; Magnoliopsida; Arecales; Arecaceae
Description: long non-coding RNA (EGUI_LNC061792)
Source: RNAcentral
GACCUCGCCCAAACUCCUACAGAUACCGAACCUCGCUACCAACUCCAACCGAACUUCGACCGACAAGUCUGGACCCCCUGGCAGGCCACAGUAACGGACAACACUGCUCCACUCCCUGCGGCGGACUCUACGCAGCUCCAUCACUCCCUGACAGGCCGCAGUAACGAUCACAGCACUACUCCACUCCCUACGAUGGGUCUCGCGCAGCUCCACUACUCCCUGGCAGGCCACAAUAACGGCCACGAUCC